AUGUUGUGUGGUGCACCACCACCAGGGGCUGGGCGUGGCUCUCUUGGACGGGGGCUCCACGACAGCAUCCUCCUCCUCCUUGCGGUGGUCACGCCGCCGCUCUGCACCGUGCAGAGCCCCAUAUCGCAGCCCCCGUCGCCCGGCGCGCCCACCGCGUCCCUGCUCCUCCGCCCCGACGCCAACGGAUCCACCUCCCCUUCCAUAGCCCCAUCUGUGGGGUCCCACGACGAGGACAAGGCGCUGGUGGCAUCCCCUCCCGUGCCCACCGAGACGUCCCAGCUCCAUUCCUCCCACCAUGGCCCCCUCCUCCGCGCACUCGUCGGCGCCGUCUCAUCCCUGCACUCCGCCGCCGCGCCCGCCCCCGCCCCUGCCGCCGACAAGGAAGGAGAUGACGACGAUGCUGAUUACAGCAAGAAGAAGGGCCAGGCCCCAGCAAGUUAG
RNAcentral lists this ribosomal RNA (441 nucleotides) under Triticum aestivum (bread wheat). RNAcentral describes it as "partial small subunit ribosomal RNA". Lineage: Eukaryota; Viridiplantae; Streptophyta; Magnoliopsida; Poales; Poaceae. The record is from RNAcentral.